UCGGUUCCGGUUCACGUCCGAAUAAUCGGGCGACCCGGCGCC
The sequence is a regulatory RNA element, 42 nucleotides long. It matches the Rfam family "L31-Actinobacteria ribosomal protein leader". The record is from Rfam.